UGCUCUUUGGCGUCGCGGUCAAAGCUGCAGUUUGGUAUCCUGUAGACCCGGGUUCAAGGCCCGUUAGGGUGA
Non-coding RNA from Megalops atlanticus (tarpon), 72 nucleotides. The record is from the annotation of a GenBank genome assembly. Lineage: Eukaryota; Metazoa; Chordata; Actinopteri; Elopiformes; Megalopidae.